CUGAAGGCACUGGAAACUGAAGUCCUUUGUUUAAACACAGUACAGACACAGCAUAUGCAGUGGCAGUGCAAGGUUCACCAUCCUGCCUAAUCUGUGUACCUUGAGAACCGUUCUUCAUGGUGAGAGUUUCUUUAUGAAUUCAGUCUCCAGACUCUUUCAGUGUCUUCU
Unclassified non-coding RNA from Chelonoidis abingdonii (Abingdon island giant tortoise), 168 nucleotides. Lineage: Eukaryota; Metazoa; Chordata; Testudines; Testudinidae. The record is from Ensembl.